UCCAUAAAGCAGACUAGUGCUCAGCAAGAGCCUACCCAGUCGGAGGUUAUGGCACCACAGCAUCAUCCUCUUGCAGGUAUAUCUCUAUCAAUUUAUAAAUUAUGUAUAUUUUUUUAUUAUAUACAUCCAUUAGUAGAUGAUAUAUGUUCAUUUCACAAAUUUUCAUAUGCAGGAACAUAGCAGCGAUGCAUAGUGCGUGGUCCUAGUAAGGGCCUCAUUUUAGAGAAAUACGGGC
Molecule: long non-coding RNA, 235 nt
Filed under: Elaeis guineensis (African oil palm)
Lineage: Eukaryota; Viridiplantae; Streptophyta; Magnoliopsida; Arecales; Arecaceae
Description: long non-coding RNA (EGUI_LNC059529)
Source: RNAcentral